UACGGUUUUCGGUCAAGUCACACUUGG
This 27-nucleotide non-coding RNA is filed under the name Mus musculus (house mouse). Lineage: Eukaryota; Metazoa; Chordata; Mammalia; Rodentia; Muridae. The record is from RNAcentral.